RNAcentral lists this ribosomal RNA (892 nucleotides) under Halomonas sp. Its description in RNAcentral is "bacterial SSU rRNA". It matches the Rfam family "Bacterial small subunit ribosomal RNA", at positions 23 to 912 of the family's 1533-position model. The record is from RNAcentral. Lineage: Bacteria; Pseudomonadati; Pseudomonadota; Gammaproteobacteria; Oceanospirillales; Halomonadaceae.
CUCAGAUUGAACGCUGGCGGCAGGCCUAACACAUGCAAGUCGAGCGGUAACAGAUCCAGCUUGCUGGAUGCUGACGAGCGGCGGACGGGUGAGUAAUGCAUAGGAAUCUGCCCGAUAGUGGGGGAUAACCUGGGGAAACCCAGGCUAAUACCGCAUACGUCCUACGGGAGAAAGGGGGCUCCGGCUCCCGCUAUGGGAUGAGCCUAUGUCGGAUUAGCUAGUUGGUGAGGUAACGGCUCACCAAGGCCACGAUCCGUAGCUGGUCUGAGAGGAUGAUCAGCCACAUCGGGACUGAGACACGGCCCGAACUCCUACGGGAGGCAGCAGUGGGGAAUAUUGGACAAUGGGGGAAACCCUGAUCCAGCCAUGCCGCGUGUGUGAAGAAGGCCCUCGGGUUGUAAAGCACUUUCAGCGAGGAAGAACGCCUAGCGGUUAAUACCCGCUAGGAAAGACAUCACUCGCAGAAGAAGCACCGGCUAACUCCGUGCCAGCAGCCGCGGUAAUACGGAGGGUGCAAGCGUUAAUCGGAAUUACUGGGCGUAAAGCGCGCGUAGGUGGCUUGAUAAGCCGGUUGUGAAAGCCCCGGGCUCAACCUGGGAACGGCAUCCGGAACUGUCAAGCUAGAGUGCAGGAGAGGAAGGUAGAAUUCCCGGUGUAGCGGUGAAAUGCGUAGAGAUCGGGAGGAAUACCAGUGGCGAAGGCGGCCUUCUGGACUGACACUGACACUGAGGUGCGAAAGCGUGGGUAGCAAACAGGAUUAGAUACCCUGGUAGUCCACGCCGUAAACGAUGUCGACCAGCCGUUGGGUGCCUAGCGCACUUUGUGGCGAAGUUAACGCGAUAAGUCGACCGCCUGGGGAGUACGGCCGCAAGGUUAAAACUCAAAUGAAAUU